RNAcentral lists this transfer RNA (65 nucleotides) under Pseudonoorda nigropunctalis. Its description in RNAcentral is "tRNA-Tyr". Lineage: Eukaryota; Metazoa; Arthropoda; Insecta; Lepidoptera; Crambidae. The record is from RNAcentral.
AAUAAAAUGGCUGAGUUUAAGCGAUAAAUUGUAAAUUUAUUAACAAGAAUAUUUCUUUUUUAUUA